RNAcentral lists this transfer RNA (69 nucleotides) under Rattus norvegicus (Norway rat). It matches the Rfam family "tRNA". From Rfam's summary of the family: Transfer RNA (tRNA) molecules are approximately 80 nucleotides in length. Their secondary structure includes four short double-helical elements and three loops (D, anti-codon, and T loops). Further hydrogen bonds mediate the characteristic L-shaped molecular structure. tRNAs have two regions of fundamental functional importance: the anti-codon, which is responsible for specific mRNA codon recognition, and the 3' end, to which the tRNAs corresponding amino acid is attached (by aminoacyl-tRNA synthetases). tRNAs cope with the degeneracy of the genetic code in two manners: having more than one tRNA (with a specific anti-codon) for a particular amino acid; and 'wobble' base-pairing, i.e. permitting non-standard base-pairing at the 3rd anti-codon position. The record is from Rfam by way of RNAcentral. Lineage: Eukaryota; Metazoa; Chordata; Mammalia; Rodentia; Muridae.
GGGGAUUUAGCUCAGUGGUAGAGCGCUUGCCUAGCAAGCACAAGGCACUGGGUUUGGUCCCCAGCUCCG